UACAGAGGUCCCAAGCGUUGUUCGGAUUCACUGGGCGUAAAGGGUGCGUAGGCGGUUUGAUAAGUUUGGCGUGAAAGCCCCGGGCCUAACCCGGGAAUGGCGUUGAAAACUGUUGAACUAGAGGAUUGGAGGGGAGACUGGAAUUCUUGGUGUAGCAGUGAAAUGCGUAGAUAUCAAGAGGAACAUCAGUGGCGAAGGCGGGUCUCUGGACAAAUCCUGACGCUGAGGCACGAAAGCUAGGGGAGCAAACAGGAUUAGAUACCCUGGUAGUCCUAGCUGUAAACGGUGUGCGCUUGCUGUAAGAGGAAUCGACCCCUUUUGUGGCGUAGCUAACGCGAUAAGCGCACCGCCUGGGAAGUACGGUCGCAAGAUUA
RNAcentral lists this ribosomal RNA (374 nucleotides) under uncultured prokaryote. Its description in RNAcentral is "bacterial SSU rRNA". It matches the Rfam family "Bacterial small subunit ribosomal RNA", at positions 524 to 896 of the family's 1533-position model. The record is from RNAcentral.